UGAGUUCUCCCUGAGACUUUAAGUCUCCUGAAGGAACGUUGAAGACGACGACGUUGAUAGGCCGGGUGUGUAAGCGCAGCGAUGCGUUGAGCUAACCGGUACUAAUGAACCGUGAGGCUUAACCUU
RNAcentral lists this ribosomal RNA (126 nucleotides) under Salmonella enterica subsp. enterica serovar Infantis. RNAcentral's name for it is "partial 23S ribosomal RNA". It matches the Rfam family "Bacterial large subunit ribosomal RNA", at positions 2805 to 2925 of the family's 2925-position model. Lineage: Bacteria; Pseudomonadati; Pseudomonadota; Gammaproteobacteria; Enterobacterales; Enterobacteriaceae. The record is from RNAcentral. RNAcentral also lists the same sequence under 2 other names.